CGCGAAGAACCUUACCAGCUCUUGACAUCCCCAAGACCCUAGCAGAGAUGCAUGGGGUGCCGCAAGGAACUUGGAGACAGGUGCUGCAUGGCYGUCGUCAGCUCGUGUCGUGAGAUGUUGGGUUAAGUCCCGCAACGAGCGCAACCCUCGGCCUUAGUUGCCACCAUUAAGUUGGGCACUCUAAGGCGACUGCCGGUGAUAAGCCGGAGGAAGGUGGGGACGACGUCAAGUCAUCAUGGCCCUUACGGGCUGGGCUACACACGUGCUACAAUGGCGGUGACAGUGGGCAGCUACACAGCGAUGUGAUGCUAAUCUCAAAAAGCCGCCUCAGUUCAGAUUGCUCUCUGCAACUCGAGAGCAUGAAGUCGGAAUCGCUAGUAAUCGCGGAUCAGCAUGCCGCGGUGAAUACGUUCCCGGGUCUUGUACACACCGCCU
RNAcentral lists this ribosomal RNA (435 nucleotides) under uncultured bacterium. RNAcentral's name for it is "bacterial SSU rRNA". It matches the Rfam family "Bacterial small subunit ribosomal RNA", at positions 960 to 1395 of the family's 1533-position model. The record is from RNAcentral.